This 10252-nucleotide long non-coding RNA is filed under the name Malus domestica (apple). RNAcentral's name for it is "long non-coding RNA (MDOM_LNC019059)". The record is from RNAcentral. Lineage: Eukaryota; Viridiplantae; Streptophyta; Magnoliopsida; Rosales; Rosaceae.
AUGAAACACUCGGGUUCAAAGCUUCAACAUGAAUGCUUCCAACAUGAAACAAAGUCUAAGUAUACGUCAACAAGACUAUACAAAUAAACGAACAGCUUCCCAGUAUAUUCGUUCAAUCAUACAUUCCAACACAUUCAUACAUAAGCCAACUGUGCUUUGAAAAGGUUCAACAUAUUUUGUGUCAUUCGACACUUGCUACAAUGUGCCUAGACACCUUGCCCUUAUUCGCACCAACCAGGUGAUGAAAUGUACAACCUGUGAUCUCCUUCAUGCUACCAAUCAGGUGAUGAAAUGUACAACCCGUACUCUAAUAUCAUUUGACAACUUGCCACUCAUGCCACCAACCAGGUGAAGAAAAAACUCAUCUUCGUGCCACCAACCAGGUGAUGAAAUGUACAACCCGUACUCUAAUAUCAUUUGGCAACUUGCCACUCAUGCCACUAACCAGGUGAAGAAGGAACUCAUCUUCAUGCCACUAACCAGGUGAUGAAAUGUACAACCCGUACUCUUCUUCAUGCCACCAACCAGGUGAUGAAAUGUACAACCCGUACUCUAAUAUCAUUUGGCAACUUGCCAUUCAUGCCACCAACUUGGUGAUGAAAUGUACAACCCGUACUCUAAUAUCAUUUGGCAACUUGCCACUCAUGUCACUAACCAGGUGAAGAAGGAACUCAUCUUCAUGCCACCAACCAGGUGAUGAAAUGUACAACCCAUACUCUAAUAUCAUUUGGCAACUUGCCAUUCAUGCCACCAACUAGGGGAAGAAGGAACUCAUCCUCGUGCCACCAACCAGGUGAUGAAAUGUGAUGAAAGGUGAUGAAGGAACUCACCUUCGUACCACCAACCGAGUGAUGGAAGCAACUCACAAUUCAUUCCACCUACUAGAAGACAAGUGGUACAACUUGUACAUGUGAACUCCUAGCAUUCACAAAUAAUCAAAAACCCACAAGCUUGACAAAUCAACUAGGGGAGCACUUAUGCCCAACAAGAGUUAUAGUCACCAACAAAGUCUUACUGUAAGCCAACAACAACUUCAGUGCAUAGCAUACGAAGAUCAAGCUAUUCAACCCAAUUGAAUCUGCUUCAAACAUUACCCCUCUGUAACAAUGCAAACACUACAAAUCUCAAAAGCUUCACACACUCUUGAUCAAGAAAGUGUGACGCAAAACCAAUUUAUGGUGCCAACAAGAGCUUCAUCAAAGGAGUUCAACCACAAUUCUCAAAAGCUUCACACACUCUUGAUCAAGACAGUGUGAAGCAAAACCAAUUUAUGGUGCCAACAAGAGCUUCAUCAAUAUAGGGCAACCACAAUUCUCAAAAGCUUCGCACACUCUUGAUCAAGAUAGUGUGAAGCAAAACCAAUUUAUGGUGCCAACAAGAGCUUCAAUUUAUGGUGCCAACAAAAGCUUCAUCAAUGGAGCGCAACCAUAAUUCUCAAAAGCUUCACACACUCUUGAUCAAGACAAUGUGAAGGAAAACCAAUUUAUGGUGCCAACAAGAGCUUUAUCAAAGGAGUUCAACCACAAUUCUCAAAAGUUUCACACACUCUUGAUCAAGAUAGUGUGAAGCAAAACCAAUUUAUGGUGCCAAUUAGUGCUUCAUCAAUAUAGGGCAACCACAAUUCUCAAAAGCUUCACACACUUUUGAUCAAGACAGUGUGAAGCAAAACCAAUUUAUGGUGUCAACAAGAGCUUUGCUUGUACCAUACUUGACCAAUCCCGAAACUACUGAGCACCAGUCAACGUUAUACCGUCAAGGACCCAGAAGAGUUUCCCUCCAACCAGGAGGCUAAUCACAGCGCGACACGUGUCAACAUCAGAAGCCAAUCAUAGCGUGACACGUGUAUACAUCAGAAGCCAAUCACAACACGACAUGUGUUAAUGUGAGAAUGAAACUAGAAACUCUCUUCUAGAAAUAGAGAUCAUUCUCUCACAAUAUUUCGUAAUGUCAUUUGUACUAAAUCGUUCACUAGUACUCACUAAAGAAGAGCUUGAACCUAUGUAUUUGUGUAAACCCUUCACAAUUAAUGAGAACUCCUCUACUCUGUGGACAUAGCCAAUCUGGGUGUAUCACGUACAUCUUGUGUUUGUUUCUCUGUCCCUAUCCAUUUACAUACUUAUCCACACUAAUCACCGGAGCAAUUUAGCGAAGGUCACAAACUUAAUAUUUUUUGUUGUACCAAAGUCCUCAUUGAUUUUGUGCAUCAACAUUUGGCGCCAUCUGUAAGAACGACAUGAAGGGAAAUCUAUGAGUUUCAUGUGGGAUUUCAAGAUGACUAGCAUGCAUAUACAAUUCAAAAUUUAUAUACAUGAGCAACGGAAGCAUGUUAUCAUAUAAUAUCAAAGCUAUAGUCAUGCAAAUCCCCUUCAAGGUUCAUAGGUUUAUAUAUAAUGCAUCAAAACAUUUUAUAGAAUCAAGAACAAAGUGAAGGUUAGUCUUAUACCUCUUGAUCUUGAUUUUAGACCAAGCAUGGACCACCUCCAAGCUCUUUGCUCCUUGAAAUCCUUGAGCCUAGCUUCCUUCCUUGCCUCCUCCACUUUGUUAGAAUGAGUGCUCCUAGGUUCUCUUCAAGUUUCCAAAGUAGGAAACCUCUAAAGAUCCUCACCCACAAGUGUAGUGAGAAGGAUGAUGGAAUAACCAAAAGGGUGAAAGAUUGUUAGCUAAAUCACUCCCUUUGGUGGCCGGCCCUUUGUAGUGUUUUUGAGAGAUAUUCUUUUUUCUUUUUGUUGUUCUAAAACACCCAAAAACUCUUAAGGAAAAUAUCAUUAUAAACUUCCUUAUAUAUAUAUCAAAGAAAACCUAGCCAACAAAUUGACUAAAUAUCUCACCCAUUUCACACCUAUAUGGCCGGCCUCUUUGUUGUUCUUUUGGGCUUUGGGCUUUUAUAAUUUCAAGUCAUCCAAUGCUUGAAUAAAAGCCCAAUGGGUUUAGGCCCAAUGGGCCCAAUCAAACCCUAACGUUUCUUUAAGCCCAAAACGAUCUUUAAUCGCUUUUAUGAUUUCUUUUAGACUUUCUAAAUUAAUCACAACAAUUAAUUAAUCCAAUUAAUUAUUUCCAUCAUCCAUUGGUUACUCACUACAAUAGUGUAUUGGUGAACAAUCUUUUAGGUUCUAAUUAGCAAGGCAGGCAGUGAGGUGAUUGGAACCAAUCCAAUUAAUUCAAUCACUUAUUGAAUUGAAACUUCAUUUCAAUUCACCAUUCUUCUUUGGUGACUACAUUUAAUCAUCUAGAAGAACUCACAAGCUAUGAGUGACAUCUAACCAUAUGUCAUAGCUACCCAAGCUAAUGUAGAAGUUUAUUCGAAGAACCUAUUCAGUUGGAAUUACAAUGUAAUUCGAUCCUUCUCUAAUACAAUACUCUCAAUCACAUCAUUAGGGUAUGGAUAUUAUGUCAAACCCCUAAUGUGAUUAUUCCUUUCAUAUAUGAUUCGUUUGAGUCGUAUAGGAACGCUUUCCUUUUAAUACGCUCGAUACUUCGGCCGAAGAUUCCCGAAUCAUAUCUUAGAGUAUUCUUCCUCUCUUAUCGAGGAUUAGAGAUUCCUUGUUGCGCAUACACUUGCCUUCAUGACUAAGUGGCUUAACCCCAAUCAUGCCGUGGAGGACACCCUCGAAUGGGGAGACUUUGACAUAAUCAAAGAUUAAGUACUUAACCACAAGACAACGACGAUGCCUCAGGUCUAAGGAUUACUUACAUUAUUCCAACCAUUAGAGUUACUUGCUUGACAUGCGAGUAGACCUCCAUGCAAGUACUCUCGUUCGAUUGUGUUCAGUGAACUCAUUCCCCUAAUGAGCACCUACAUACUUGUCUUAGUGUCACAAACACGAAUGGAUGAGGCUGAGGCUUUCCAUCCUUCCAUUUGAAGCAGACAUAGUAUGUAUGUACUGGUCUAAGCAUUGUCAGUAUCCCUCCGACAAUCCAAUGACCAGGAACCUUUUGGACAUCUGGUUAUGUGAAGAAGGUCUCUGUAGUCUAACAUCAUUAGAUUACUUCUUCAAUCGAUCCAUUGUCCAUGGAUACACUAUUAAGGACAUAUUUCGUCUAUUAAGAUAGUCCUAAUUCGUGUCUUUGCCUUUGAUGUAUAAGAUUCAUCCAUACAUUUCAUUUAUUUGUCCUGAAAGAUUUCUUUCCAAAAGAUUGACUUUCAGGGCAUAUUUCCAACAAUCUCCCACUUGCACUAAAGUCAAUCACUAGUGUUUCUUAUACAUCUUGUCGAGAGAGUUUAUGCUCGUAGGUUAACUUGGUUAUGUAUUAAUCCCUUUUCAUUUAAAAGGGAUUUACUUAUCAAAUGUUUCCAAAACAUUUGAUGAUGUCUCUUUAUUGUGUUCGAAUACUUUGAUGAGACCUUGAUUCCAUGGCUUGAGCUAUCGCCCCAUUACGUCGUAGUACCCUACUAACGACCUUAUGGUUUGGAUUCAAUCAUUGGUUCUAAAAGAAACCCCUUCCAUUCAAAAACACCUUUUGAAGCAGUUUCUAAAACUAUAUAUCGACAUAUAUUUCGUUUGUAUACUUUAUACAAAUUUUGCUCCAACCUUGAGACCAUUGUAGUACAAUACUAACAAUUCAUUUAUAUGAUUAGUACUUCAUCCAUUAUGAAGUUCCAUUUGUUAAAAUGGCUUAUUUUUCACUUUGAUUAACAACCUAAGUGAAUGCACGCUUCCAGAGUCCUACUCUGAUGUUUCUUUCUCAAAGGCAAUAAUACUCUAUCAGUUGCUUUGGUUCUGAUCCUGGGACAUAGUAAUAUCUUAAAGUGACAACCCAUGUGGUUCUUCACCUUUGGAUAUCUACUUCACAAGUCCAUACAUGUGUCCCUUUUGUGAUUUUAUGACACAUUCAUUAUAAGGGUUAUGAAAGUGAUUUCCUAUCACAUAGGAAAAUACUUUCUUAAAUCUACAACAUUUGAGAUUUAUUUCCCAUAUAACAUUAUUGAGACAGCCUUGCUAUAUCAAUAAGUCCAAUUUCAAGUCUAUACUUCAAAAUUGACCGUGUCAUGUAUUGUCAUUUUUCGAGUAACAUCUAUGUUUUAUUAAGUCUAUCAAAUGGACUUUAUUCACAUCUUGUUGCUCAAAUUAUGACAUCACUCCCACUGGCCUUGUUGUAACAUAGCAUUCAUUCAAAGAAUAACAAUUAUAUUUUCUUGAUUUGAAUGCAUAUUGCUCCCACUAACUUAAAUGAAUCAUACACAAAAGAAUUCCUUCUCAAGUAAUUCCAUGAAAUGUGUAUGACUUGCUUUAUCAAGUCAAUCCAUUUAAAUUAUAUGGUGUCAUACACCAUACUUCAAGUUUUAGUCAUACUAAGACCUUUAAUGUAGUCAUAUAAGAAUUAUCUAAGUCUUUAGUGAAGCAUGGCUCCUACUAAGGAUAAAAACUUAACCAUUCCUCCUAGGUGGUUGAUAUAAUUCUUUAUCAGAACUACAUAGAGCAAUAUCGUUACAUGAGAUGUUGAAUUUGGUUUGUCUUAUUGUUAAACCACAUGUUGUGACUCAUUUUGAAAUUUAUUCCCUUUUGUUUCAUCAACUUGUCCAUAUGCUUUCUUUAUUAGCUUGUUCUCAUAAAAGAGAAUGAUGGACAACUCCCAACAUAUAACUAUUUUAUGCUAGGUUGACGAAACCAACAUUCAAAGACUAUUCUUUAAAUGUCACACAACAUAGAAUUUUAACGUUUGAAGAGCUUGAGUCCUUUUAACAAUUAAAAUCACAAACUCUUAAUAAUAGUCAAGUACUAUUAUUCUUUAGACAACUAUAAACCAAUCCCAUUCAAGUUUAUAUCCAUUUUCACACCUCCCACUAUUUCUCAUGACUUUAAUGAGAAAUCACUUCAUACAUUCAAAAUGUAUAAAAUUGGAGUAUAUUGGAAGAAGACAUUGUGUAGUAGCUUUAGAACAUUUCAAGCUUAUUUGUUUCAAUCUUCACUAAGUCAAUGUCUUGUUAUUUAAGUGACUAAAGUCUUUAAACAAUUUAUAGAUUUAGACACUUCUUUCUUGGUUUAGUCACUAACACAAUUGACAUUUUAAAACAAUUUUAAGAAUGCCCAAUUAAUUGUUCAAAACUACUAAUUGAAUGAGAUCUUGAAUUGUGUUUCAAGUGAUAACCAUAUAUCAUUGUGUUUCAAGAUAACAUUUUUUCUUAUUACUUAUAUCAUAUAAUGUGAUCUUCCUUUUCUUCAAGAAAAGGAUUCUCUAGACUUUUGUCAAUUCAUAUUAGAACUCAUAAGUAGACAAAUGGAACCGAAUCUAAAGAUUCAUUGUAUCCUUUUAUGUCCUACAUGUGAGAUCUAUCCAUAAUUGAUAAAUCUUAAAGUUUGGUUUAUCACAUUACAAUUAAGUGAUAUAACUCUUGUAUCUCAUCUAGGAUACAACAAGACAAUUUUCAAUUCAUAACACUACUUUAAGGAAAUAAAAAGGCAUACUUCACAUUACAUUAAUAUGAUAGUUCAAACAUUCAUAAUGUUUAAUACAAAAAGUAUUAGCUCUAUACAUUUUAGAGACUAAUAUAAAUACCUUUAUACAUUUAGACAUUAAUAGUGGUCAUCCAUCAUAUGAAGCCACAUAAUAAGUUCUUAUCAAAAUAAGAAAGUUUAAAGACAAUCUUUAAUGCCUAACAAACUUCCUAAGUAGUGAGCAAAAACAUAGUGGCCGAACACUUCACCACUUUUUCCUUUGCUUGUUCUUCUUCUACUUGGCUUCUCCACCUAUAUACAAUUAUACAAGUGAUUAGCCCUUUAUAUCAAAUAUAAAUAUUUAGAAGAUCUAACAUUUAGAAUUGAAGAUAAGGACUUAAACCAUACCUUGUGGCUUGUCCUUAAGACUUGCAAGGUAUAACCUGCAAUUCCUCCUCCAAUGCCCCUCCUUUCCACAGUGGUGGCAAGUCCCCUUGGGCUCUUUUGCCUUCUUUUUCCUCACUCCUCCUUUCGGCUUAGGAGUGGGUGACUUCUUCUCCUUCCCUUUGCCUUUGCCUUGCGGCAUGGCCUUGGAAGAGGAUGGCUUGUUGUAGGCUACUGCAACAGUCCCUACACCGCUCUCUUUCUUCAUAGUCUUCUCAGCAGCUACUAACAUGUUUAGUAACUCAGAGAGAGUACUAUCCAUCUUAUUCAUAUUGUAGUUCAUUACGAACUGCGCAAAUGAAUCAGAAAGAGAAGCCAAUAUGAAGUCCUGGGCCAAUUCCCCGUCAAGUGGAGUACCAAGGUUCUCCAAUUGUUCAAUGAAUCCUAUCAUCUUCAGUACAUGUUGGUGUACUGGAGCCCCCUUUACCAUCUUGGUCUUUACAAGUUCACAAACAGUGCUAAAGCGACGGUUGCGCGUCCCUUCGCCAUAUAACUCCGUAAGAUGGAGUAUUAUGGAAAAUGCACUAUCCAUGCCCUCGUGCUGUCUCUGUAGCUCCUCAUUCAUGGAAGCCAACAGAUAGCAUUUGGCUUGUAUAUCAUCCUCAACGUGCUUGUCAUACUUAGCACAUUCAUCCUCAGUAGCCUCAGGGCUAAGAGGUAUGUGAGGUGGAGGCUUAUCUAGUACGUAAACAAUCUUCUCCAAUGUUAGGAGAAUCUUGACAUUACGAUACCAUGAUGGGAAAUUGUGCCCCUUUAGGCAAUGUUUGUCGAGUAUUUUCGCGAGUGUGCUUCCAACCAUAUCUAUAUACAUAAACAAAUAAAAUAAUUAGAUUGAUUGUUGUUUAAGUCAAACGAUUCGGGUCUUUAAACCGAAUGACACCACCCACCAUUUUUGGCAAAUUCCAUAUCCCCCAUAAUGGAAUCCGGGAGAUUUCAAAGAAAGCUCCUAGCGGGUUAUGGGAGACUCACUAUUACCAAGCCCACCUCAGAAGAACUCCAUAUUGGCUAGCAACAAUAAUAAUGAGAGAGUACGCUUACUCAUUUGCAACUAAUGCAAGUACCCAUCUCGUUUGGCCUCUAGAGAAUGAUGCCUCAGAAGAACUCCAUAUUGGCACCAUUGCACUUAGUUAAGUUCUUUCCCACCAUGCUAGUUCAAAGUAGGGGUUCAAGAAUGGCCUCAGAAAGAACUCCAUAUUGGCCACACUAGUUGCCUACCUUUCACUUCAUCAUAUGUGUAUAGGCUUCUCCUGAAUGUAAGCACAUACUUUGCAACCCCAGAACUGGACGAAUACGGUGUAUGAGUCACAAACGAUUGAAGCCUACCACGGUGGAAGGCCACGAAAAAGUGUUCAAAGCACUCUUACGUUUUCAACUUAAUAUUGAGUGAUUGAGGGAUUUUAAGGUCUCAUCAAUUUUAUUUAUUUAAUCACAAUCAAUAAAUAAUGUCCUAUUUACAACUACUAGUCCAAAGUUAAUGAAAUUAGUAGCAUAUGAUAUCCCCACUAUUCGUUUUUCAUAAAAACAAAUCAAUAUCAAAACAUUUUUCAAAAUAUUGGAGAUAUAAUAUAACUACUAAUUGUAUUCAUUAUAGUUUUUAGUAGCGUAUGAUACUCCCACUAUUUGUUUUGAGAAAAACAAAUCAAUAUCAAAAACGAAUUUUUCAAAUAUUGGAAGUAACUACUACUACUAACGUUUUUGCAUUCCUUUGAAAUUGGACUUUAUAGUUAUCUUAGGCUCUUGGAUGACCAUGGACUUAUAAGGUUAUUGCAACAACGAGCCAUCAUUGUUGAAUAUAAACUCGGGGAGGUUUGUGUCAAUUUAAUUACGUGCUUAUCAAUCCAAUUAAAAACCAUUUUCAUUGAGCCAUUAGAAAUGAAAGACAAUCAUUCAUUGCUAAUUGGGGCAUUGGACCCUUUUAAUCUUUUAAUCUCAUGUCAAAACCCUCUUUUAGUUAUGUCUCCUUACCAAUGGUUAAAGAAACUCUAGUCUAGCACUAGAGUGAAUCAACUAACGAAUAGAGAUUAAGAAGUAAUAAGAAUUACAAACCGAUUUGUACAAAUUCCUAUAAAUUACAUAUACUAAAAGGGGAGAGAUAGAUUAACGUCAAACAUGACAAGGUCCAAUUAAACAGUAAUUAAAACACAUUCCCAAGGUUCAAACAAUUUGAUUUUAGCGCCUUAUCUCAUAGCUCAAUUAUCGUUUAAGGCAUAAGUCCAAAGUCAUCCAUUUUACAAUUACUUAAACACAUUUAAAUAAUCAUAAUGGAAUGCAACAUAAACAUUUAGAUUUAGUGCAUAUGGGCAUAAUAUAAUUAUGAGUUUAAACAACUAACAAAAUUAAAAUCAAAUAUUUUAACUUUCUAGUUAGUAGGGGCCUUUAUGCAAAUAUGAAAAAGUUAGGGGUCAAACCGUAAAUAUUCAAAGUAUAAAAUAUCUUUUCCAAAUUACAAAAUACCCCACAAGUGGGUAUACAACUAGGGGAGGCCGGCCAUGAAUUGGGGAGAAGAUAGAAAGUCUCACUUAUCUUCCCUUAAAUCAUGUAAAGUAGAAUAAAAUCAUAAUUUUGCUUGUCACUUGGUUUUGGUUUAAAUGAUUUUAUUUCAAAAGGUGAUGGAAAUCUCUUAGAUAAGCUUAUGGUUUUAUAAGUUUUAAAAUGAUUAUGGAUGGUAAGAACAACAUCCAAAACCAUAAAACUAUGCAUGAAAACCAAAUAAAAACACUUUCACCUAAAACCAAACCAUGAACACCAAGAACAAAACCAUGAACAUAUUUUCAAGAUUUGUGUAUUCUUGGUGAAUUUUCAAACCCAAAAACAAAAGUGACAAGGUUUCUACUUUCUAGCUUUGAAAUGAUGUGUGAGUGUCUUACAAUAAAACACAAACAUAUGCUCAAACCUUCCCCAAAAACGUGCCAACCACAAAGAACAAAACCCCAAAAUUUGUUCAUGACUUAUUCUUCAUUUCAUGCAUACAAAACAACUUUUACAUGCAUAUCUUUUUCAACUCUUGAUUUACAUUUUUCAACCAUUGAAAAACAAAAGAUAAACAUACUUUUAAAUGAAGAAAUCAUUUGUCAAAACUCAUCUUUCAUUCAUGCAUACAAAACAACUUUUGCAUACAUAUCUUUCUCAACUUUUGAUUAACAUUUUUCAACUUUUGAAAAACAAAAGAUAAACAUACUUUGAAUGAAACAAUAAUAUGUCAUACAUAACAUUAAUACCCAUAUACAUAAAAUCCAAAAGGACACAUUAUACAUAAACCUUUGGCUCUGAUACCAAUUGAAGGGAAAUCUAUGAGUUUCAUGUGGGAUUCAAGAUGACUAGCAUGCAUAUACAAUUUCAAAAUUUAUAUACAUGAGCAACGGAAGCAUGUUAUCAUAUAAAUAUCAAAGCUAUAGUCAUGCAAAUCCCCUCCAAGGUUCAUAGGUUUAUAUAUA